CCUACGGGAGGCAGCAGUGAGGAAUAUUGGUCAAUGGGCGGGAGCCUGAACCAGCCAAGUCGCGUGAGGGAAGACGGUCCUAUGGAUUGUAAACCUCUUUAGGCGGGGAGCAAUGCCGGGCACGCGUGCCCGGAGGGAGAGUACCCGCAGAAUAAGCAUCGGCUAACUACGUGCCAGCAGCCGCGGUAAUACGGAGGAUGCGAGCGUUAUCCGGAUUUAGUGGGUUUAAAGGGUGCGUAGGCGGAUUUUUAAGUCAGCGGUAAAAUGUCCGGGCUCAACCCGGGCCGGCCGUUGAAACUGGGGAUCUUGAGUGGGCGAGAAGUAUGCGGAAUGCGUGGUGUAGCGGCGAAAUGCAUAGAUAUCACGAAGAACUCCGAUUGCGAAGGCAGCAUACCGGCGCCCGACUGACGCUGAGGCACGAAAGCGUGGGGAUCGAACAGGAUUAGAUACCCGGGUAGUC
RNAcentral lists this ribosomal RNA (460 nucleotides) under uncultured bacterium. RNAcentral's name for it is "partial 16S ribosomal RNA". It matches the Rfam family "Bacterial small subunit ribosomal RNA", at positions 338 to 795 of the family's 1533-position model. The record is from RNAcentral.